AACGAACGCUGGCGGCGCGCCUAAUACAUGCAAGUCGAGCGAGAAGACGUAGCAAUACGUUUGUAAAGCGGCGAACGGGUGAGGAAUACAUGGGUAACCUACCCUCGAGUGGGGAAUAACUAGCCGAAAGGUUAGCUAAUACCGCGUACGCUCCUUGGACUUCGGUUCAGGGAGGAAAGCGAUACCGUGGGUAUCGCGCUCAUGGAUGGGCUCAUGUCCUAUCAGCUUGUUGGGAGGUAACGGCUCACCAAGGCUUCGACGGGUAGCUGGUCUGAGAGGACGAUCAGCCACACUGGCACUGCGACACGGGCCAGACUCCUACGGGAGGCAGCAGUAAGGAAUAUUGCGCAAUGGGCGAAAGCCUGACGCAGCGACGCCGCGUGGGGGAUGAAGGUCUUCGGAUUGUAAACCCCUUUCGGGAGGGAAGAUGGAAUGGGGUAACCCAUUCGGACGGUACCUCCAGAAGCAGCCACGGCUAACUUCGUGCCAGCAGCCGCGGUAAC
This 503-nucleotide ribosomal RNA is filed under the name uncultured bacterium. RNAcentral's name for it is "bacterial SSU rRNA". It matches the Rfam family "Bacterial small subunit ribosomal RNA", at positions 29 to 524 of the family's 1533-position model. The record is from RNAcentral.